UUCUGCUACUUCUGCGAUUUUUGUGACUUCUGCUACUUCUGCGAUUUCUGUGACUUCUGCUGCUUCUGCGACUUACCACCGUAUGGAAAAGUUACAUCUGCCCACACUGAAAAUUGCUUCUCAACAAAUCUGUCAUUGGUACCCGAACUACAUUUCAGUCACUCAGUAAAUUGAUAACUCAAAAUAUCAUUGUCAACACAUCUGGAGAAAUUGCCACUGCGUCUUUAGACCGUUUUCGUCAGACGGGAGACACAGUUCUGACUCUUGAUUACUGGUUGCUGUACGAAUUUAUCCACAUCAAGGCUAUUGAGAGAGACUCGUGAAGAUUCAAGACAGGUCUUACAGGAUUUGCAGUUUAAAAGUGACAUAAUUGUGAAAUAAGUGUGCAGAUGAGUGAUUAAACUGUGUUUUAUUGAAGUUGUUAUGCAAUUUUAAAGGAAUAAUAAAUGUUAAAUACAGUGAGUGAAUAAUGAAAAUCUCA
Molecule: long non-coding RNA, 481 nt
Organism: Schistocerca gregaria
Lineage: Eukaryota; Metazoa; Arthropoda; Insecta; Orthoptera; Acrididae
Exons: 3
Source: RefSeq, a predicted model, not a curated record